UACGUAGGUGACAAGCGUUAUCCGGAAUUACUGGGCGUAAAGCGCACGCAGGCGGCUGAGUAAGUCUGACGUGAAAUCUCCCGGCUUAACCGGGAGCGGUCGUUGGAAACUACUUGGCUUGAGGCGAUGAGAGGGGUGUGGAAUUCCCGGUGUAGUGGUGAUAUGCGUAGAUAUCGGGAGGAACACCAGUGGCGAAGGCGGCUUUCUGGGCCUUACCUGACGCUGAGACGCGAAAGCGUGGGGAGCGAACCGG
Molecule: ribosomal RNA, 253 nt
Filed under: uncultured bacterium
Lineage: Bacteria
Description: partial 16S ribosomal RNA
Rfam family: Bacterial small subunit ribosomal RNA
Source: RNAcentral